AUUCAUAAUCUUUUAAGAGUUUUGAUUUGAAAUCAGAAUGAUUGUUUUUAUUAACAAUAUGAAUU
This 65-nucleotide transfer RNA is filed under the name Rhinebothroides sp. MZUSP 8017. RNAcentral describes it as "tRNA-Ser". Lineage: Eukaryota; Metazoa; Platyhelminthes; Cestoda; Rhinebothriidea; Rhinebothriidae. The record is from RNAcentral.